Molecule: long non-coding RNA, 672 nt
Filed under: Nicotiana tabacum (common tobacco)
Lineage: Eukaryota; Viridiplantae; Streptophyta; Magnoliopsida; Solanales; Solanaceae
Description: long non-coding RNA (NTAB_LNC004733)
Source: RNAcentral
AACUUUUGUGGAUAUGGUUGAACCUUUAGGAUAUGAAUUGAAAUUUUGGUUUAUGUAUUGGAAUCUUAGUUUAUAAAUUAAAAUUUUAGGAUUUUACUUCAACUUUUGUGGAUAUGAGUUGAACCUUUAGGAUAUGAAUUGAAAUUUUGGUUUAUGUAUUGGAAUCUUAGUUUAUAAAUUGAAAUUUUUGGAUAUGACUUGAACUUUUGUGGAUAUGAGUUGAACCUUUAGGAUAUGAAUUGAAAUUUUGGUUUAUGUCUUGGAAUUUUAGUUUAUAAAUUAAAGUUUUAUGAUUUGAUUUGAACUUUUGUGGAUAUGAGUUGGACCUUUAGUAUAUGAACUGAAAUUUUGGUUUUUGUAUUGGAAUUUUAGUUUAUAAAUUGAAAUUUUAGGAUUUGACUUGAACUUUUGUGGAUUUCAGUUGAACCUUUAGGAUAUGAAUUGAAAUUUUGGUUUAUGUAUUGAAAUUUUAGUUUAUAAAUUAAAAUUUUAGGAUUUGACUUGAACUUUUGUGGAUAUGAGUUGAACCUUUAGGAUAUAAAUGAAAUUUUGGUUUAUGUAUUGGAAUUUUAGUUUAUAAAUUAAAAUUUUAGUAUUUGACUUGAACUUUUAUGGAUAUGAGUUGAACAUUUAGGAUAUAAAUUGAAAUUUUGGUUUGUGUAUUGGAAUUUU